Pelobates cultripes (western spadefoot toad) is the source of this 211-nucleotide non-coding RNA. Lineage: Eukaryota; Metazoa; Chordata; Amphibia; Anura; Pelobatidae. The record is from the annotation of a GenBank genome assembly.
CUAUAAAAUGUUUUAUAAAAUCAUCAUCCCUCCAAAUCCUACAUUCCUGAAAGACUUUCAUCGAAUAUUAACUAAUAUAAAACUAACGGGGUUAUUUAAUAAAGUAAGAAUCCAAAAUUAAGUCAAAGUUAGUUGCAAAUUUAAGGCCAAAGCAGGUGAAGUAGAUGCAUAGCUGACUUAGAAUUUUUUUUUUAAAUCACCUAUUAUGGCC